GUCUACGGCCAUACCACCCUGAACACGCUCUAUCAUGUCUGAUCUUGGAAGCUAAGCAGGGUCAAGCCUGGUUAGUACUUGGAUGGGAGAUAUGCCACACAUAUGUAAAUU
RNAcentral lists this ribosomal RNA (111 nucleotides) under Microcebus murinus (gray mouse lemur). The record is from RNAcentral. Lineage: Eukaryota; Metazoa; Chordata; Mammalia; Primates; Cheirogaleidae.